Molecule: ribosomal RNA, 445 nt
Filed under: uncultured bacterium
Lineage: Bacteria
Description: bacterial SSU rRNA
Rfam family: Bacterial small subunit ribosomal RNA
Source: RNAcentral
AGAGUUUGAUCCUGGCUCAGGAUGAACGCUGGCGGCGUGCCUAACACAUGCAAGUCGAGCGGUAAGGCCUCUUCGGAGGUACACGAGCGGCGGACGGCUGAGUAACACGUAGGAACGUACCCCAAACUGAGGGAUAACUGCUCGAAAGAGUAGCUAAUACCGCAUGUGCUCUAAGGAGUAAAGCUUCGGCGGUUUGGGAACGGCCUGCGUAUGAUUAGAUUGUUGGUGAGGUAAUGGCUCACCAAGUCGACGAUCAUUAGCUGGUCUGAGAGGAUGAUCAGCCAGACUGGGACUGAGACACGGCCCAGACUCCUACGGGAGGCAGCAGUAGGGAAUUUUCCACAAUGGGGGCAACCCUGAUGGAGCAACGCCGCGUGCAGGAUGAAUGCUUUCGAGUUGUAAACUGCUUUUAUCUGUGACGAAUAGGACGGAGCAGAUGAAUAAG